RNAcentral lists this ribosomal RNA (460 nucleotides) under uncultured bacterium. RNAcentral describes it as "partial 16S ribosomal RNA". It matches the Rfam family "Bacterial small subunit ribosomal RNA", at positions 338 to 795 of the family's 1533-position model. The record is from RNAcentral.
CCUACGGGAGGCAGCAGUGAGGAAUAUUGGUCAAUGGACGAGAGUCUGAACCAGCCAAGUAGCGUGAAGGAUGACUGCUCUAUGGGUUGUAAACUUCUUUUAUAUGGGAAUAAAAUGUUCCACGUGUGGGAUUUUGUAUGUAUCAUAUGAAUAAGGCUGGGCCAAUUCCGUGCCAGCAGCCGCGGUAAUACGGAGGAUCCGAGCGUUAUCCGGAUUUAUGGGGUUUAAAGGGAGCGUAGGUGGAUUGUUAAGUCAGUUGUUAAAGUUUGCGGUUCAACCGUAAAAUUGCAGUUGAAACUGGCAGUCCUGAGUACAGUAGAGGUGAGCGGAAUUCGUGGUGUAGCGGUGAAAUGCUUAGAUAUCAAGAAGAACUCCGAUUGCGAAGGCAGCUCACUGGAAUGCAACUGACACUGAGGCUCGAAAGUGUGGGUAUCAAACAGGAUUAGAUACCCUGGUAGUC